Molecule: ribosomal RNA, 599 nt
Filed under: Lucanus ogakii ogakii
Lineage: Eukaryota; Metazoa; Arthropoda; Insecta; Coleoptera; Lucanidae
Description: partial 16S ribosomal RNA
Rfam family: Archaeal large subunit ribosomal RNA
Source: RNAcentral
UUAAGGAAUUCGGCAAAUUUCUUUUCGCCUGUUUAAUAAAAACAUGGCUUUUUGGUAAUAAUUUAAGGUCAGGCCUGCCCAAUGAUAAUUUAAAUGGCUGCGGUAUAUUGACCGUGCAAAGGUAGCAUAAUCAUUAGUUUUUUUAUUGGAAGCUGGAAUGAAGGGUUUGACGAGAAAGAAGCUGUCUUAAUUUAAUUAUUUGAAUUUUAUUUUUGAGUGAGAAAGCUUAAAUAGUUUUGAGGGACGAGAAGACCCUAUAGAAUUUAAUAGUUUAUAUAUUUUAAAAUUUUGGUUUAUGUUAAUUGAUAUAAAUUUAAAUUAAUUUGUUGGGGUGAUAAAAAAAUUUAAAUAACUUUUUUUUGUAUUUUUCAUUAAUAAAUGAUUAUAUGAUCCAUUAGUAGUGAUUAUAAGAAAAAAUUACCUUAGGGAUAACAGCGUUAUUAAUCUGGAGAGUUCAAAUCGAUAGAUUAGAUUGCGACCUCGAUGUUGGAUUAAAAUUGGCUUUUGGUGAAGGGACUAAUAAGCUAAGUCUGUUCGACUUUUAAAAUUUUACAUGAUCUGAGUUUAAACCGGCGUGAGCCAGGUUGGUUUCUAUCUUU